This 473-nucleotide ribosomal RNA is filed under the name uncultured bacterium. RNAcentral's name for it is "partial 16S ribosomal RNA". It matches the Rfam family "Bacterial small subunit ribosomal RNA", at positions 29 to 507 of the family's 1533-position model. The record is from RNAcentral.
AACGAACGUUGGCGGCGUGGAUUAGGCAUGCAAGUCGUACGAGUUUCAUCUGGGUAACUGGAUGAAAAAAGUGGCGAAAGGGGCAGUAAGGCAUGGAUAAUCUACCCUGAUGACCGGGAUAGCUGUCCCAACGGGCAGGUAAUACCGGAUGAGCUGGUGGGGCCGCAUGGUUCUGCCAGGAAAGGCGCAAGCCGUGUCGGGAGGAAUCCAUGUGAUAUUAGCUAGUUGGUGAGGUAAAGGCUCACCAAGGCGAAGAUGUCUAGCGGGUGUGAGAGCACGAGCCGCGCCAUUGGGACUGAGACACUGGCCAGACUCCUACGGGGGGCUGAAGUGGGGGAUCUUCGGCAAUGGGGGAAAGCCUGAGCGGGCGACGCGGCGUGAGCGAUGAAGGCCAUUAGGUUGUAAAGCUCUGUUGAGGGGGAACAAGCCGGAAGGUUGAGUGAUCCCUGGAGGAAGCACGGGCUAAGUUCGUG